This 460-nucleotide ribosomal RNA is filed under the name uncultured bacterium. RNAcentral describes it as "partial 16S ribosomal RNA". It matches the Rfam family "Bacterial small subunit ribosomal RNA", at positions 338 to 795 of the family's 1533-position model. The record is from RNAcentral.
CCUACGGGUGGCAGCAGUGAGGAAUAUUGGUCAAUGGGCGCGAGCCUGAACCAGCCAAGUAGCGUGAAGGAUGACUGCCCUACGGGUUGUAAACUUCUUUUAUAAAGGAAUAAAGUGAGGCACGUGUGCCUUUUUGUACGUACUUCAUGAAUAAGGAACGGCUAACUCCGGGCCAGCAGCCGCGGUAAUACGGAGGAGCCGAGCGUUAUCCGGAUUUAGUGGGUUUAAAGGGAGCGUAGAUGGGUUGUUAAGUCAGUUGUGAAAGUUUGCGGCUCAACCAUAAAAUUGCAAUUGAUACUGGCAGUCUUGAGUACAGUUGAGGUAGGCGGAAUUCGUGGUGUAGCGGUGAAAUGCUUAGAUAUCACGAAGAACUCCGAUUGCGAAGGCAGCUUACUAAACUGCCACUGACAUUGAUGCUCGAAAGUGUGGGUAUCAAACAGGAUUAGAUACCCCUGUAGUC